This is a long non-coding RNA of Polypterus senegalus (gray bichir), 1092 nucleotides long. RefSeq lists it as uncharacterized. The transcript has 5 exons. NCBI's taxonomy places the organism in Eukaryota, Metazoa, Chordata, Cladistia, Polypteriformes, Polypteridae. The record is from RefSeq and is a predicted model, not a curated record.
CACAAACGCGAUCGAGUCGGACGCCAUGAGAACGGAAACCAACCGAGACACGAAAUCGCGGCCGACAGACUUUGAACUGCGGCUUUGCGAAAGAGCCUCGGAGGAAGGCUGUUGCCCUAUAGCUUUCGGUUCAGUUCUUCACUGGAACUUUUUCACUCUUCCUCCUGUCAACUAGCACUGUGGGAAGAAUUUAUACAAAAGCCCUCUAAUGGAUACCCAAACCUUUUCCUGCAUGCACACAAUGUGUGAGAGGCUCCAAGAAGACUUGCUAAGUUACAAAAGGGCAAUAAGAAAAGGAAGGUGAAGCAGUCAGAAAAUCAUUAAAGGUGUUUAAGGAUGUCAAGGAGGAUAAAUGUAAUGGAUUUCCUCUGUCUGAUGGAAGUGGCCCAAGCAGUAAACACGGUAUGGAACACUAUGUUAAUCACUCAUUCCCUACGCAGCCACAUUAGAAAAGACCCUUCUUCUUUAUCACGUUUACAUUAAUUGCAGUCUAUGGAACUUUCUCUCUCUUGGACGCUUGUACAGAAUGGACAUGCACAUUACAGUGGCGAUUGGGUGUCUGGAACUCAACUCUCUUGAAUGUAAAGGUAAAUGUUUUUCACGCUCUAGUGCAUCAUAAUGAAUUUCAUUUUUAUUAAAUCCAGUUAAAAGCCAGCAGCUCUUACACAAAAAAUAAAUAUAUUUUCUAACACUACUGUGUUCAGACUGUGAAGUUCUGAAGGUGUAAGUUGUGCAUAGGCCAGAAAGAACCUAAAUCAACAUAGAUAAUUUAGAAUUCUGUUCCCCUAUAUUCAAUAAGCUGAAAUGCUGUCACCAAGUUUCCAAUAAGAAACAUGUAUAUUCCUUUGCAAAGACGGGCCGGUGACAAAUUUAAGAUUAAAUCUCCUGCUCUCAUGCAACUCCUAAACUAGAUUUCUGUCUUUUCAGGAAACUUGCCCAUUGUGUUUUUUGAUGCAUCCUUUCUUGCUGUGACUCCUUAAAAAAAUAAAAACUGCAUAUACUUUACUUCCCAUUUUGACCUGGGUAUUAACUCUUUUAGGGCUGAUGUCGACUUUUGUCAAAAGGAGGAAUUUACAGUGGCAAUCAACUGUA